RNAcentral lists this ribosomal RNA (286 nucleotides) under uncultured bacterium. RNAcentral's name for it is "partial 16S ribosomal RNA". It matches the Rfam family "Bacterial small subunit ribosomal RNA", at positions 337 to 615 of the family's 1533-position model. The record is from RNAcentral.
ACCUACGGGGGGCAGCAGUAGGGAAUCUUCCACAAUGGACGAAAGUCUGAUGGAGCAACGCCGCGUGAGUGAAGAAGGGUUUCGGCUCGUAAAGCUCUGUUGGUAGUGAAGAAAGAUAGAGGUAGUAACUGGCCUUUAUUUGACGGUAAUUACUUAGAAAGUCACGGCUAACUACGUGCCAGCAGCCGCGGUAAUACGUAGGUGGCAAGCGUUAUCCGGAUUUAUUGGGCGUAAAGCGAGCGCAGGCGGUUGCUUAGGUCUGAUGUGAAAGCCUUCGGCUUAACCG